RNAcentral lists this ribosomal RNA (464 nucleotides) under uncultured Bacteroidota bacterium. Its description in RNAcentral is "bacterial SSU rRNA". It matches the Rfam family "Bacterial small subunit ribosomal RNA", at positions 33 to 494 of the family's 1533-position model. The record is from RNAcentral. Lineage: Bacteria; Pseudomonadati; Bacteroidota.
ACGCUAGCGGCAGGCUUAACACAUGCAAGUCGAGGGGUAACGGGGAAGCUUGCUUCCGCCGACGACCGGCGCACGGGUGCGUAACGCGUAUACAAUCUACCUUGUACUGGGGUAUAGCCUUUAGAAAUGAAGAUUAAUCCCCCAUAGUCUCUUAGAGUGGCAUCACUUCUAGAGUAAAGGUUACGGUAUAAGAUGAGUAUGCGUUCUAUUAGUUUGUUGGUGUGGUAACGGCACACCAAGACUACGAUAGAUAGGGGCCCUGAGAGGGGGAUCCCCCACACUGGUACUGAGACACGGACCAGACUCCUACGGGAGGCAGCAGUGAGGAAUAUUGGACAAUGGAGGCAACUCUGAUCCAGCCAUGCCGCGUGCAGGAAGACUGCCCUAUGGGUUGUAAACUGCUUUUAUACAGGAAGAAACACCUCUACGUGUAGAGGCUUGACGGUACUGUAAGAAUAAGGAUC